CCCAUGCUGCCCUCGGACCCUCCAAAUGCCCACAAGGAAUCCCAGGGCUUCACUCUCUUGCUGCACAAUUGGGAUUGUGUCACCUUUGUCUCUGGACCUUCUAGAAAAAGGAGGGUGGGAUUGGAUACUCCUGAGUUUAGAGCUCCGUGCAAAACAAAGUCACAGUAAAGUGUGAUGAUCUGGUAAGGGGGAAGAGAGGCUGUCUUUUCAGAGACUCCUUUUCCCUCCCUCUAAUGAAUGCAAGAACUGUGCUUAACCCAGGGGAGCUGGGAGCCAACCUGUAAACCGAAUCCUCCAAGGCCAGCUUGGGCUGUGACUUCAUUCAUUCAAAUCAUCCACCAAGCAUUAUUUUGUGUUAGAAAUACAGCAGUGAACAUAUCCUCUCCUCCUCUUUUCUUUAGACCUGCAGGGCCUGAAGAGGCAGCCCCACGUCGGAAGGGACAAGAAGUUAAUGAGAAAAUUACAAAAUUUACAUAGAGGGGCAAGAGACCAGCUACACACAUCUGCGGUCAAAAGCAGAUCUCAUCCAAGUAAAGUGCUACCCUCACUCUUUGAGGCAGGAUAUGAUUGCAGCGCUGUCCCUCUCAUGCUGGCUGUGGCCCUGACAUCUGUGCCUGCAGCGUCUGGGAGGUCCCUCCUUCUGGAGGCCGGGAGCCUCAUACUGUUCAGGUCCCUGCUGCCAAGAGUCAGAUAGGCCGCUCCCCUGAGGAUCCCAGGUUUGGGCCCAGCACAGCCGAAAGACCCUCUCUUGUAGCCUGGAGUAAUUUCCACACAGGCCACAGAGACUUCACACAUUCCAGAACCAGGCAGAUUUUCAGAAAUGGGAGCUGCUAUUGGCUGGUGCAUCAUCUCAUGUCUCUCCGACCCACGCAAGCUGAACAGCCUCCAGCCUCAUUGGUGACACCCUGCUGGCAUUGAGGGCCAAGACAGAAUGGUUCUGAGCUGCCUCUGCAUGCCUGAAGACCUCAGCCUGCCGCCCGCUGCCCCAGUAACUCAGGGGGUCCCCAGCCCUCAGCAGCACACCUGCCCUGUUCCUCCACUUGGACUCCUCAUCAAGGGUCCUUGUCCACCCCUCAUGCUGACCCCCUUGCCAUGAGUGUUGCAACGUCCACACCACAGUGCUGUCCCCACAUGCUCCCGCAGUACCCUAGGUCCCUCCAAGAGCCCCACCCCCACACUCUGGCUCUACCUCUGUAUCCACCUGGCUUCUAAACCGGAGUCCUCCCCACAUCCAUUCAGGCCCCAGGUGUCCCAGGGGACUCACCAGGUGGUGAACUUCUACAAAUCCCCAUUGGGACCCCCGGAUAACUGAGUUGAAUAUUAUUUUACAGAUAAUGAAACUGAAACAAUUUUUUUUUCUUUUGAGACAGGGUCUCGCUCAGCCUCAAACUCCUGGGCUCAAGCACUCCUCCUGCCUCAGCCUCCCAAGUAGUUAAGACCACAGGCGUGCACCACCAUGCCCAGCUAAUUGUUUUUAUUUUUUGUAGAGAUGGGGUCUCACCUUGCUGGUCCCAAACUCCUGGGCUCAAGUAAUCCUCCCACCUCAGCUUCCCAAAGUGCUGAGAUCACAGGUGUGAACCACUGUGACCGGCUGGAAGCAAUAUUUUAAAACCUGGAAUUCAAAUAACAGGGCACCAGCUGUGGAAUAUACACCUACGCAAGAGGAAUGGCAAGAGAAGAGAUCAUCCCGACCCCGUUGGUGGGCUGGAUGGAGCAACUUCCGCAGGAACGAGGCACCUCGGAGGCCUCUACUGGCUGAGAGCAGCAUCCUGACCAGACAGCAAGCCCCAGAGGGUCUGGGGGGAUCCAAACCCACCCCUGCACAGGUUUGCUGUGAACCAGGUGGGAGGGAGGGAAGAUGGGAACGAAGGUGAGAGAGGCCUGGGGGCCCGUGAGCAUGAACUUGGAGUGCUGAGCACUCACCUAAAUGACAGCAUCAGCGGGGCAGGGGGCAUCCUGCCUUCUGCCUCCCUGAAUUCACAGCUGGAAAGUGAUCCAGGUCAUGCAGACUCACUCCCACUGACUCAUUUGUCUCACUCCAAGCACUCGUUUCCCGGCUCCACUUGCUACUUCCUUGCAGGUCUUGGGCACCAAUUCCAGAUUCCUGGACCUGUCAUUCUCUGGGAGAAGGGUCCUGCUCUGAACCACACCAAGCCAGGGGCUUUCUCCAGAUCACCAGCCUCAUUUGGCAGAUGAGUGAAAUGUGGCUCAGACAUGCCCGGAAACUUGGCCAUGAUCACAGAGCUGACAAUGGGCAGAGGAGGGAUGGGAACAGGAUCUGCCUGACCCCAGAAACCCAUGCCCUUCCCAGAGCAUCCAUGGCCUUACACAGGCCCGCCUUUCCCGGCCUGCUUCAACCUCCUUGGCCUCCCACAUGGCAUUCACCAAUCUGCCUGCUUGGCCAGGUCUCCCCUGCCUUUUCCACUCAUCUCACACUUUAAGCCCACCUCCUUCAGGAAGCCCUCCCUGCUCAUCAUAACAGGUAUUAGAUAUUGAUACUCCUACAUACACACACACACACACACACACCACCCACCCCCAGAGUAUACACAAUCCUACAUUAUUUUCCAAAAGUUUCUCCUAUUAAAUCACUCCCCUGAACUCUACCAGGUAUCUGUAAUAACAGUGGGCAUACAGCAAGUAGUCCAUAACUAUUCUUUGGACUUGAACUAAAAUUCAUCCCCUUUCUUCUGCCACCUUCUUGCAUCAAGGACUUCAGCCUGAAACCAAGGCAGGCAUGAAGAGAAGCCGAUUUGGGGCUGCAGUCUAAGUGCCUUUACCUGACAGCUCCACAUGAAGAGACCGGCCAGGGCUCUUUGCUCCUGGCCAGGAGGCCCCAGGAGGGAAGGAUUCCCUGCAUCCCAGGGAUCACAAGUCAGGGAGGCCCUCAGUGAACAUUAACUAUGAUGACGACGUAAACAUCAUGUCUCAAAGGCACUAGCUGAGACUCCAAGGAUAAAUGAAGGUUGGUGAGCAGUGGGGAAUGGGUGGCUGGUGCUCUGAGCUGUGCUUGCCCAGCGCUGAGGCCUUGGACUGGCCCCUCACCUCCCUGCCUUCACUUCCUCCCACUGGAUUCCGCAUCCUCCAGAUCCCAGUCUGGGUGUGCCAUGGCUUUCCUAGGAACCUCCCUCGGGCCUGCUCCAUCAGGGAUGCAGUGGGCGGAACUACCAAUCAUGGCUGCAGUCUGGCUGCAGGGGGCCUGGCAAGGUGCCCUGAGCUCCCCUGGGCAGGUGAGUGAAAACCUGCCGGCGGGGGCUGCAGCCUCAUGCGUUUGUGAUCACAACCAACUCAGGCAGUUUUUGGUUUCACGUUUUCCUUCAUUUUCCCUUGAGGGGCACCUCAUACUGGGAAUCCCAACCCCUUUGCCAGGAGCUCUCACGCAAGGAAGGGCUCUGGGCAGUUCUGCUCUUAGAGCUGGGCCCUGCCCGGCCCACAGCACCAGGCUGGGAGUUACUGCAGGUUGGGACUCCAUCUGAUCCGCUCCAGAGAACUCAGCAAAUGCUGGGCUGGUGCUCUACAUGACACACUUGAAGUUUGUAAUUCAUUUCCAAAGUAACAUAUACUCAUUAAAGAAAAUUUGGAAAAUGCAUAAAAGCAAAAAUGUAAUAUCACAUAAGAAGCAUCACCUAUAAUUCCACCAGCUAUAGAUGUCUGCUUCUUACAUUCUGGGAUCUUUUCUUUCAGGUGUUUCUAUGCCUCUAUACUUUAAAAACAAACAAAUAAACGAACACCAAAGCGGAUUAUAUUAAGCACUGUUUUGAUACCUGCUAAGCCGAGGCAGCUC
Molecule: long non-coding RNA, 3784 nt
Filed under: Homo sapiens (human)
Lineage: Eukaryota; Metazoa; Chordata; Mammalia; Primates; Hominidae
Description: HSALNT0038855
Source: RNAcentral